GAAUAUUGGACAAUGGGGGCAACCCUGAUCCAGCCAUGCCGCGUGUGUGAAGAAGGCCUUCUGGUUGUAAAGCACUUUACGCAGUGAAGAAGACUCCAUGGUUACUACCCAUGGACGCUGACAUUCGCUGCAGAAUAAGAACCGGCUAACACUGUUCCAGCAGCCGCGGUAAUACUGAGGGUGCAAGCUAUAAUCGGAAUUAAUGGGCGUAAAGCGAGCGUAGGUAGCUUGAUAAGUCAGAUGUGAAAUCCCCGGGCUUAACCUGGGAACUGCAUCUGAUACUGUUAGGCUAGAAUAGGUGAGAGGAAGGUAGAAUUCCAGGUGUAGCGGUGAAAUGCGUAGAGAUCUGGAGGAAUACCGAUGGCGAAGGCAGCCUUCUGGCAUCAUAUUGACACUGAGGUUCGAAAGCGUGGGUAGCAAAC
Molecule: ribosomal RNA, 422 nt
Filed under: uncultured bacterium
Lineage: Bacteria
Description: partial 16S ribosomal RNA
Rfam family: Bacterial small subunit ribosomal RNA
Source: RNAcentral